CCACGAACAGGGCAAACCACUUCGAAAGAGUGGGACGCAAAGCUUCCGGCCUGACUCAGGAGACUGAAAGGUAGCGGGGUUGCCGAU
RNAcentral lists this non-coding RNA (87 nucleotides) under Vibrio coralliilyticus. RNAcentral's name for it is "c-di-GMP sequence". It matches the Rfam family "c-di-GMP-I riboswitch aptamer". Rfam says of the family: GEMM was predicted in a large-scale screen for bacterial structured RNA regulatory elements. Genes associated with GEMM are involved in a diverse array of functions, including chemotaxis regulation, signal transduction, secretion and chitin. The record is from RNAcentral. Lineage: Bacteria; Pseudomonadati; Pseudomonadota; Gammaproteobacteria; Vibrionales; Vibrionaceae.